RNAcentral lists this ribosomal RNA (276 nucleotides) under Acinetobacter baumannii. RNAcentral describes it as "partial 23S ribosomal RNA". It matches the Rfam family "Bacterial large subunit ribosomal RNA", at positions 2673 to 2925 of the family's 2925-position model. The record is from RNAcentral. Lineage: Bacteria; Pseudomonadati; Pseudomonadota; Gammaproteobacteria; Moraxellales; Moraxellaceae.
UGCUCCUAGUACGAGAGGACCGGAGUGGACGCAUCACUGGUGUUCGGGUUGUCAUGCCAAUGGCACUGCCCGGUAGCUAAAUGCGGAAGAGAUAAGUGCUGAAAGCAUCUAAGCACGAAACUUGCCCCGAGAUGAGUUCUCCCUGACCCCUUAAGAGUCCUGAAGGAACGUUGAAGACGACGACGUUGAUAGGCCGGGUGUGUAAGCGCAGCGAUGCGUUGAGCUAACCGGUACUAAUGAACCGUGAGGCUUAACCUUACAACGCCGAAGGUGUUU